RNAcentral lists this ribosomal RNA (254 nucleotides) under uncultured bacterium. RNAcentral's name for it is "partial 16S ribosomal RNA". It matches the Rfam family "Bacterial small subunit ribosomal RNA", at positions 523 to 776 of the family's 1533-position model. The record is from RNAcentral.
UAGCGUAGGGUCCGAGCGUUGUCCGGAAUUACUGGGCGUAAAGAGCUCGUAGGUGGUUUGUCGCGUUGUUCGUGAAAACUCACAGCUCAACUGUGGGCGUGCGGGCGAUACGGGCAGACUAGAGUACUGCAGGGGAGACUGGAAUUCCUGGUGUAGCGGUGGAAUGCGCAGAUAUCAGGAGGAACACCGGCGGCGAAGGCGGCUCACUGGCCAUAUACUGACGCUGAAGCACGAAAGCGUGGGGAUCAAACAGG